GAGUCGUAGCAAAUACAAAUUAUAGGAGUGUGGAAGAGAAAGAGAAAGAUGGAAUGGAGAAAAUCUUAUGUUGAUGUGAUACUGGUGCCGCUGGGGUUUCUAGUGUUUUCCGGCUAUCAUGCUUGGCUUUGGUACAAGAUUCGCACGCAGCCCCUCACCACCAUCAUCGGCUUAAAUGCCUCGGCUCGACGUUCAUGGAUCUCGACAAUGCUUAAGGACAUUGACAAGAGAAACAUCCUAACCGUCCAAGCUCUGCGGAACAAUAUAAUGGGGUCGACCCUGAUGGCUACUACAUUAAUCCUUCUGAGUGCAGGGUUGGCAGCAGUAAUUAGUAGCACAGCAGUGUCAAAAAACCGCUGAACGACAUCGUUUUCGGUGCUCAUGGGGAAUUUAUGGUGGCACUCAAAUAUGCAACACUAUUAACUACUUUCAUGCUGUCUUUUUUCUGCCAUACUCUGUCAAUUCUGUUUCUGAACGAGGUGAGCAUCCUCAUAGGCAGUUCACCUCCAGCAGCAGCUAUGGAUGAACUCACCUGGCAUGACUACUUAUUGUCACGGACUUACAACUCACAUGGAAGACCGGGUGAAGUUUGA
RNA transcript from Ziziphus jujuba (common jujube), 593 nucleotides. RefSeq lists it as uncharacterized. The transcript has 3 exons. NCBI's taxonomy places the organism in Eukaryota, Viridiplantae, Streptophyta, Magnoliopsida, Rosales, Rhamnaceae. The record is from RefSeq and is a predicted model, not a curated record.